Molecule: transfer RNA, 77 nt
Filed under: Bacteroides sp.
Lineage: Bacteria; Pseudomonadati; Bacteroidota; Bacteroidia; Bacteroidales; Bacteroidaceae
Also listed under: 3 other names
Description: tRNA-Arg
Rfam family: tRNA
About the family: Transfer RNA (tRNA) molecules are approximately 80 nucleotides in length.
Source: RNAcentral
GGCGCCUUAGCUCAGCUGAAUAGAGCAUUUGACUACGGAUCAAAAGGUCGUAGGUUUGAAUCCUACAGGCGUCACCA